AAGAAAAAAACAAGGUCUAGAACAGAAUGUUUAUCUCCUUCAAAAUAUUUGUAGAUAAAUAGAAUAACUGAAAGGUUAUAUCAGUGAUCUUCACUUCCCAAUUAAACACCUCUUAAAUGGAGAUGCUGCUACUGCCUUCAUUACAUAUUGACAUAUUUUUAUUUCACUAAUGGUUUUGCAGCAAUGAAACAGCGCUUUGUCCAGGCCUGCCAAUGACUAAUCAGCACACACUCCCCCAUUCCGAGCCUAUAAAAAACCUGAAGUCAGCCAUAUGUUGGACUACCACUCCAAGGCCCCAUCUCACACAGAGGCCCACCUGCUCUCAGGUCCCCUCUCCGUAGAGAGCUUUCCUUCACUCACUCAAUAAAAUCCUUCC
This 376-nucleotide long non-coding RNA is filed under the name Homo sapiens (human). RNAcentral describes it as "HSALNT0127958". The record is from RNAcentral. Lineage: Eukaryota; Metazoa; Chordata; Mammalia; Primates; Hominidae.